Molecule: transfer RNA, 76 nt
Filed under: Rubrivivax sp.
Lineage: Bacteria; Pseudomonadati; Pseudomonadota; Betaproteobacteria; Burkholderiales; Sphaerotilaceae
Also listed under: 18 other names
Description: tRNA-Lys
Rfam family: tRNA
About the family: Transfer RNA (tRNA) molecules are approximately 80 nucleotides in length.
Source: RNAcentral
GGGUCGUUAGCUCAGUUGGUAGAGCAGCGGACUUUUAAUCCGUUGGUCGCAGGUUCGAAUCCUGCACGACCCACCA